RNAcentral lists this ribosomal RNA (483 nucleotides) under uncultured bacterium. RNAcentral describes it as "partial 16S ribosomal RNA". It matches the Rfam family "Bacterial small subunit ribosomal RNA", at positions 30 to 506 of the family's 1533-position model. The record is from RNAcentral.
AUUGAACGCUGGCGGCAGGCCUAACACAUGCAAGUCGAGCGGAUGAGCGGAGCUUGCUCCUUGAUUUAGCGGCGGACGGGUGAGUAAUGCCUAGGAAUCUGCCUGGUAGUGGGGGAUAACGUUCCGACAGGAACGCUAAUACCGCAUACGUCCUACGGGAGAAAGCAGGGGACCUUCGGGCCUUGCGCUAUCAGAUGAGCCUAGGUCGGAUUAUCUAGUUGGUGAGGUAAUGGCUCACCAAGGCGCCGAUCCGUAACUGGUCUGGGAGGAUGAUAAGUCACAUGGAACUUGAGAAAGGGCCCGGCUCCCUACGGAAGGCAGCAGGGGGGAUUAUUGGACAAUGGGCGAAAGCCUGAUCCAGCCAUGCGGCGUGGGUGAAGAAGGUCUCCGGUUGGUAAAGCACUUUAAGGUGGGAGGAAGGGAAGUAAGCUAAUCCCUUGCUGUUUGGCCGUUACCGACAGAUGAAGCACCGGCUAACUUCUU